GUGUUAUUGUAAUACUUAAUUACAUGCGAAUUAUUUAAUUUAUGUUCUAGCUUAUAGAAAAACAUUGUAACUAACAAGAUGUUUGCGAUAUAAGAAUAAGUUUUGUUAUGUAUAAAUUUAUUUUUGCCCAGGCGGCAGUAUGUUUAGAGCAAUUCUAAACAUGAAGUAUGCAUAACUAUUUUUUGAAUUUUGAAAUAGAAAAAUAAUAUAGUAAUAAUUUUGACAACAUAGUCAUUGUAAGUCAAUCAACAAUUUAGGUCGUAUGUGCACGUGUUGUAACUACAUUAAAAUAAAAUAAAAGUAAUCUUCUCUCUGAAUAUAUCGGAUUAUUGAAGCGACCAGCAAAAAAUACAGUCCACGCUCUACACACCACCACACUGCCUAUUACAGCCGUAAAUCAGUAAUGCGUUUCGGUUUGAACGGUGGGGCAGCCGUUGUAACUAUACUGAGACCUUAGAAUUCAUAUCCCAAGGUGGGUGGCGGCAUUUAUUUUAUAGAUGUCUAUGGGCUCCGGUAAAUAUUUAACACCAGGUGGGCUGUGAGCUCGACAACGCAUUAAUGUAACAAAAAAAAAGUCCAACACGUUAACUUCCUGCUCUAGUUCACGACAGAAACCGCCCAGCCCCAUCCCAGUCGUCGACGACAAUGAUGAACUAAUAGCAUGGUAACUCGGAUAAGCCACCAGCUGGAAGAGGUCGUAGGCCAAGUCCAAGCCGUAGGUAGUCCGACCCGAGAAACUCUGGUAAUAAUGUCUCCCCUCCGCAAAUGCGAACUGCUCAAUGCGGUCAGACCUUCUUGAACGGAAUAUUGAUGUAUGGAUGGAGGCACGCGGGAAGUCUCAAUAACUCGUUUUUUUCAUACGAACAGCUAGCGUGAUUGGGUCAACGGAACCCGUUAAAAAAAUUAAAUAAUAAAUCUCAAAUUACACUCAUAAAUAAGUAAUAGAGUUUGAAGUUCAACAAGAACAUACUAAUAUAUUCCUAAGUCCAGGAAGUGAAUCGGCAAAUGCAUCACAAGUGCUUCAGCUUUGCUAAUUGUACGACCAUAAAUAGCCUGCCCUGCCCACUGCUACUGCCCAGUCAACACGAACUUAUUAUUAUCUGAGGUUUGGACUUGUUCAACCAAUGGACAUCGCUUUAGCUUUGGAGAUCGAGCAGGUCUCGCGUCAGAAGGCGCUGGAGGAGGAAGCGCUUCGGGGCGAGUCGGCUGUGCGGCAGUUCUACGCGGGAACCACAGCGCUGAUCACUGGAGGGACGGGCUUCAUCGGGAAACAACUCAUAGAGAAGCUUCUAAGAUCGUGUGACGUUAAGCGGAUUUACAUACUGAUGAGGUCGAAAAAAGGGAAAUCAAUGUCAGAAAGACUGCAGUCACAAUUAAACGAGCCAGUAUACGACAAUUUACGAUCUCAACAACCAGAUUUCACUCGGAAAGUUAUACCGGUGGAAGGCGACAUCUCAGAGCUAGGCGUCGGCCUGAACAACGAAGACAGGAUGAAGCUUGCGCAAGAGGUGAAUGUGAUAUUCCAUGUGGCUGCCACGACCAGGUUCGAAGAGCCACUGAAGAAGGCCACAUUCAUCAACGUCAGAGGAACCAGGGAGAUCAUGGAAUUGGCCAAAUGCUGCAAAGAUCUAAGGUCCUUCGUACACGUGUCAACUGCGUUCUCUAAUGCAACCAAGAGUAAAAUAAAUCACGAUUUGGAAGAGAAAAUCUAUGAAAGCCCUGUCCCUCCGGAAGUCAUGAUACAGCUCGCGGAGACAGUCGAAGAAUGCAGACUCAACGCGAUCACUGCUGAUUUGAUAAGGGACUGGCCCAACACGUACUGCUUCACGAAGGCCAUAGCUGAGGAUGUCGUGCGUACAAUGGGCAAGGAUUUACCUGUGGCCAUAGUGAGGCCACCCGUAGUUGUCUGCACGCUCAAUGAACCCACACCUGGAUGGCUGGAUAUGAGCUCGGUGAUUGGUCCAAGCGGGAUAUUUUUGACAUUAAUGCUAGGCGUUAUGCACGUAAUUUUAAAGAGUGAUGUUAGCAUUCCAAUAAUGCCCGUGGACUACGUCAACAAUGCGGUAAUAGCAACAGCAUCGUAUACCAAUAAACGUUACAAUAAGAAUGAAAAAGGAAUUAAAGUUUAUAAUAUAUAAGCUGUUCUGGGAGCAAAAUUGAAACAUGUAAGUAUCAAAAUGAUUCAACAUACGUGAUUAGAAAAGCUUACGGCUAUUGUCAGGGUUCACGGACAACUUUUAUUGUUUAGUGCACUUCAGUAUUUGAGGGGAAAGUCUCCACUGCAAUGUUUAUUAAGCUAUUAUUUCGUCUAUAUUAUAAAGAGGAGAGAUUUGUUUGUUUGUUUGUAUUGAAUAGGCUCCGAAACUAUUGAACCGAUUUGAAAAAUUCUUUCACUGUUUGGAAGCUACACUAUUCCCGAGUAACAUAGGCUAUAAUCUUUUUUGAAAAAAACUAGGGAUCCUUGCUAAUACUCCAAUAAUGUAACCCAAGGUGUAAAAAAAUUACCUAAAAUAUUCUUUACAUCGCGUGCCCUGCGAAAACUAUUGAUGAUAGAAUAAACUAAUGUACUACGACUUUGUAGAACACAUUAUUAUUUACAAAAAGUGUCGCGACAGCAUAUGUCUAACUAUUAUAGUUAUGCCGCAAUAAGUAUUAUCUUAUUUAAAAAAAUAAAACAACGUCAAAUAUCGUUGAAAUUUUUGUUAAAGACCCGAGCAGACCCGGAGCGGGCUGCUAGUUACUCUAUAUGAGCAGCUGUCAAGGCUUUUAUAAACAAGGAUUCUACAUGACCACGACUGCUCUGUGAAGAGUAACUGGUUAUGAUUAUGAUUUCGUGACUGUGAAAGCCGUUCGUGCCCACAUUUUAUUCAGAACAGUUGACAGCAAUUUUUUUUAUUUUAUUGCUUAAGUGUGUGGUCGAGCUCACAACCCACCUGGUGUGAAGUGGUUACUGGAGCCCAUAGACAUCUAGAACGUAAAUGCGCCACACACCUUGAGAUAUAGUUCUAAGGUCUCAGUAUUGUCACAACGGCUGUCCCACCCUUCAAACCGAAACGCAUUACUGCUUCACGGCAGAAAUAGGCGGGGCGGUGGUACCUACCCGUGCGGACUCACAAGAGGUCCUACCACGAGUAAUUACGCAAAUUAUAAUUUUGCGGGUUUGAUUUUUAUUACACGAUGUUAUUCCUUCACCGUGGAAGUCAAUCGUGAACAUUUGUUAAGUACGUAUUUUAUUAGAAAAAUUGGUACCCGCCUGCGGGAUUCGAACACCGUUGCAUCGCUCGAUACGAAUGCACCGGACGUCUUAUCCUUUAGGCCACGACGACUUCAUAAUUCAGGCUUAACAGGAUUAUGGCCUUUAAACAAAACCAUUCGUGUGUGUAUGUGUGCGUGUGGCGUAUUAAAGCGCACAAGAAGCAACAGGGAGUUGAGUACAGAGUGACAGAUCCCGCCCCGAUAACGCUAGGGACUACUCCUGGGGUGCUUUCAUACCCGAUCCUGUGGACCGCAUGGUAAACAGUCGACGUCGCCCUAAGCACAUUAUUGCGGAUCCUCCCAAUCCAUUAACGGUGCUUUUAGAUACCUCAAGCACCGGUCACCGUCCUCGUCGAACCCGACGCUUUCGACAAAGGGCACGACGUGUAAGUUAACCCAUAGACACAGCCCACUGAGUUUCUCCCCGGAUUUUCUCAGUGGGUCUCGUUUCCGAUCCGGUGGUAAAUUCUGCGAAGCACUGCUCUUGUUAGGGCCACUGUAAACAACACUCCCGGUUGAGCCCCGUGAACUCUCCUACACGUCAGGGCGAAGCUCUCAAGGCUGUCAGCAUAGGAUAAAAAGGUGCCAAAAAUAUGACCAUUCCAAAAAAAGCACCGUACUGUGCCAAUCUGAAAUCUUUUCUUGUGAUCUGUAGCCAGUUAUGUCGGUCAGUGGCACAGUGAAAUGCGUCGCUCAGUUCCGUGACGAGAUUAUUCACUCAUUGAUUACUCAUACACUUGAUUACUUCAUCAUUUCGGGCUCCGACCCCUGGAUCGUUUGCCAUCCACUUUAAGCGUAUUUUUUUUUAUGAUUGAAGCAUUACCUUGCCUUUCUUAUUGUUUGGAUGGGUGGACAAUCUGACCUGGUGUAAAGUAGUUACUGGAGCCCAUAGACAUCUACAAGGUAAAUGCGCCACCCACCUUGAGAUAUAAGUUCUAAGGUCUCAGUAUAGUUACAACGGCUAACCCACCCUUCGAACCGAAACGCUUUACUGCUUUACGGCGGAAAUAGGCGGGGUAGUGGUACCUACCCGUGCGGACUCCCAAGAGGUCCUACCACCAGUGAUUACGCUAAUUAUAAAUUUGCGGGUUUGAUUUUUAUUACACGAUGUUAUUCCUUCACCGUGGAAGUCAAUCGUGAACAUUUGUUGAGUACGUAUUUCAUUAGAAAAAUUGGUACCCGCCUGCGGGAUUCGAACACCGGUGCAUCGCUACACACGAAUGCACCGGACGUCUUAUCCUUUAGGCCACGACGACUUCACUCCGCUUGCCUCGGAGGCCUUUCUAGUUUCACCAGGACAUGUGGCCGAGCACAGGCUCAGCUAGGAAGGGUGAGAUUAGCCAACCUAACUUCUCAAGAGCAGCUGCUUCGUUAAUGAAUCGUCUACCGGAUUGGAAUCGCGACCCGGUGAGAAGACCGAGCGAGAAACUCAGCGGGCUGAUGCAUGGCUUUUGUGUCUGAUUUCCUGAACAAUCCUAACACACAACAGUACGCUACGCCGAAAGCCGUUUGGUACUGUUAUGGUUUUGAGACCAGUAGCGAUGUUGUAUUUUGGUUGUUAACAUGGCUACUGCAUUAUAUACCUGCGUAUGUAGCCGACUUCGUGUUUAAUGUGACCUCCAUGAAGCGUCCUGAGGGCAUAAAGUCAUUCGUUAAAAUGUAUGAAAAGAUAUACAACAUGUCUUUGUUGUACGGCUAUUUCCUGAGGAACCAGUGGAAUCUUGUCGAUGACAACACCGUGGCCAUGUUGAACCAAAUGUCAAAAACGGACAGGAUAUUGUUCAAUUUUGAUGUUGCGAAGAUCGAUUGGUCGCACUAUAUGUCGAUAUGGUUGAUAGGCAUAAGAAAGUUCAUCAUUAAAGACGGCCUCAAAGACAGCGAAUAUGGUAGGAAGAAACAGAGCUGGUUGAAGAUAGCUAAUUUAUGUUAUCAUGGACUAUUUUUUGGAGUCGUCAUUUUUUUUGUGUACAUUUGCUGUGCAAUAUUCAUGUAUGUGUUUCGAUCAUAUGAGCAUGCAGUAUAGACUUAUUUAAAGUGCACCAUGUGAAAUAUAGUAAUAUAAAGUACUUACUUUUUUGUAAUGUAGUUGGUGAAGGUUUGAAGUCGCAGUUACCAGGAGUAUUGGUACUAAAUUGCCACUCCUAUAUUGUUUGUUAUCUUUUAUCUAUCUAUUUGUACGUGGUUAAUAAAUAAGAAUCAAUACAUAUUACUUCUAGAAAUUUUUAUAUUUUAUUUUUAUAUAAUACCUACCUAUUUUAUUCAGUGUACGUACUAAUCAUGGGAGUAGUAUGUUUGCAUUCCAAUAAAUACAGGUCGGAUAAAAGUUUUUAUUUAGUUGUUUAAAACUUAAAAGUUGCAGUAAAUAAUUUUAUUGUACUAUUUAUAUUUUUGCUUCAUAAUGCAAAAUGUCAUAUUUUACGAACGACAGAAUAAAUAGUUUCUUGCAAUA
RNA transcript from Bombyx mori (domestic silkworm), 5704 nucleotides. It is a transcript of the gene named fatty acyl-CoA reductase 1, with no coding region annotated. The transcript is spliced from 11 exons. The record is from RefSeq and is a predicted model, not a curated record. NCBI's taxonomy places the organism in Eukaryota, Metazoa, Arthropoda, Insecta, Lepidoptera, Bombycidae.